AGUGGCGGACGGGUGAGUAACGCGUGGGUAACCUACCCUGUACAGGGGGAUAACAGUCAGAAAUGACUGCUAAUACCGCAUAAGACCACAGCACCGCAUGGUGCAGGGGUAAAAACUCCGGUGGUACAGGAUGGACCCGCGUCUGAUUAGCUGGUUGGUGAGGUAACGGCUCACCAAGGCGACGAUCAGUAGCCGGCUUGAGAGAGUGAACGGCCACAUUGGGACUGAGACACGGCCCAAACUCCUACGGGAGGCAGCAGUGGGGAAUAUUGCACAAUGGGGGAAACCCUGAUGCAGCGACGCCGCGUGAAGGAAGAAGUAUCUCGGUAUGUAAACUUCUAUCAGCAGGGAAGAUAGUGACGGUACCUGACUAAGAAGCCCCGGCUAACUACGUGCCAGCAGCCGCGGUAAUACGUAGGGGGCAAGCGUUAUCCGGAUUUACUGGGUGUAAAGGGAGCGUAGACGGACUGGCAAGUCUGAUGUGAAAGGCGGGGGCUCAACCCCUGGACUGCAUUGGAAACUGUUAGUCUUGAGUGCCGGAGAGGUAAGCGGAAUUCCUAGUGUAGCGGUGAAAUGCGUAGAUAUUAGGAGGAACACCAGUGGCGAAGGCGGCUUACUGGACGGUAACUGACGUUGAGGCUCGAAAGCGUGGGGAGCAA
This 659-nucleotide ribosomal RNA is filed under the name uncultured Lachnospiraceae bacterium. RNAcentral's name for it is "bacterial SSU rRNA". It matches the Rfam family "Bacterial small subunit ribosomal RNA", at positions 94 to 771 of the family's 1533-position model. The record is from RNAcentral. Lineage: Bacteria; Bacillati; Bacillota; Clostridia; Lachnospirales; Lachnospiraceae.